Long non-coding RNA from Phyllostomus discolor (pale spear-nosed bat), 332 nucleotides. RefSeq lists it as uncharacterized. Lineage: Eukaryota; Metazoa; Chordata; Mammalia; Chiroptera; Phyllostomidae. The record is from RefSeq and is a predicted model, not a curated record. The transcript is spliced from 2 exons.
UCUCAUCUGUAAGUGGAACCUAAUCAACAAAACAAACAAGAAAAUCUUAUAUCAGAGAAGCAUAUUCUAUAAAUCUGAAACCUGGGAAAUCUAAAUUUAAGAAGAUACAAACUAGAGUGUACCUGACAUGUGAAUUGUUUGGGUGAAUUAAUAUAAGGUUGUUAGAGGAUGAAGAACUGUGAUUAAGGGAAGGGGAUGGGAAGAAGCCAGUGAGAACUACUUUCAUUGCAGACUCAUGCCCAUCCUCUGUAACAAAUCAGAUAUUGGUUUUCCCUAAUUCAAUCCUAACAUUAAUGCUGACAAUAAUAGCAAAAUACAGGGAUUUCUGGUGG